AGAGUUUGAUCCUGGCUCAGGACGAACGCUGGCGGCGUGCCUUAGGCAUGCAAGUGGAACGAACCUCUUCGGAGGUAAGUCGCGAACGGCUGAGUAACACGUAGGAAUCUACCCCUUGGUGGAGAAUACCCCUAUGAAAGUAGGGUUAAUACUGCAUAAGAUCUCUGGAUGAAAGGGCGUAACUGCCCGCCGAGGGAGGAGCCUGCGGCCCAUCAGCUUGUUGGUAGGGUAAUAGCCUACCAAGGCUACGACGGGUAGGGGACGUGAGAGCGUGAUCCCCCAGAAAGGCACUGAGAUACGGGCCUUACACCUACGGGUGGCAGCAACCGGGAAUAGUGCGCAAUGGACGAAAGUCUGACGCCGCGACGCCGCGUGAGGGAUGAAUGCCCUAGGGUUGUAAACCUCUUUUGCCAGAAGGGAGACCGACUGGAGAAUAAGCACCCGCUAACUACGUGCCAGCAGCUGCGGUAAGACGUAGGGUGCAAGCGUUGUCCGGAUUUAUUGGGCGUAAA
Molecule: ribosomal RNA, 512 nt
Filed under: uncultured Microgenomates group bacterium
Lineage: Bacteria
Description: bacterial SSU rRNA
Rfam family: Bacterial small subunit ribosomal RNA
Source: RNAcentral